UACAGAGGCCCCAAGCAUUACCCGGAAUCACUGGGCGUAAAGGGUGUGUAGGUGGUCAUAUUAGUCGAGUGUUAAAUCUCAGGGCUUAACUCUGAAAUCGCACUCGAAACGGUAUGACUGGAGAGCGUAAGGGGUGAAUGGAACUCAUGGUGUAGGGGUGAAAUCCGUUGAUAUCAUGGGGAACACCGAAAGCGAAAGCAAUUCACUGGUACGUUUCUGACACUGAAACACGAAAGCGUGGGUAGCGAAUGGG
RNAcentral lists this ribosomal RNA (253 nucleotides) under uncultured bacterium. Its description in RNAcentral is "partial 16S ribosomal RNA". It matches the Rfam family "Bacterial small subunit ribosomal RNA", at positions 524 to 776 of the family's 1533-position model. The record is from RNAcentral.